Molecule: ribosomal RNA, 435 nt
Filed under: uncultured bacterium
Lineage: Bacteria
Description: partial 16S ribosomal RNA
Rfam family: Bacterial small subunit ribosomal RNA
Source: RNAcentral
AGCGAACGCUGGCGGCAGGCUUAACACAUGCAAGUCGAACGGGCAUCUUCGGAUGUCAGUGGCAGACGGGUGAGUAACACGUGGGAACGUACCCUUCGGUUCGAAAUAACUCAGGGAAACUUGAGCUAAUACCGGAUACGCCCUUUUGGGGAAAGGUUUACUGCCGAAGGAUCGGCCCGCGUCUGAUUAGCUUGUUGGUGGGGUAACGGCCUACCAAGGCGACGAUCAGUAGCUGGUCUGAGAGGAUGAUCAGCCACACUGGGACUGAGACACGGCCCAGACUCCUACGGGAGGCAGCAGUGGGGAAUAUUGGACAAUGGGCGCAAGCCUGAUCCAGCCAUGCCGCGUGAGUGAUGAAGGCCUUAGGGUUGUAAAGCUCUUUUGUCCGGGACGAUAAUGGCGGUACCGGAAGAAUAAGCCCCGGCUAACUUCGUG